UUCCCGUAUGAUCACCGAAGUUAAGCAACGUCGAGCCUAGUCUGUACCUCGAUGGGUGACCGCUUGGGAAUACCAGGUGCUGUAAU
This is a non-coding RNA of Acanthosepion pharaonis, 86 nucleotides long. NCBI's taxonomy places the organism in Eukaryota, Metazoa, Mollusca, Cephalopoda, Sepiida, Sepiidae. The record is from the annotation of a GenBank genome assembly.